RNA transcript from Nasonia vitripennis (jewel wasp), 3503 nucleotides. It is a transcript of the gene named tudor domain-containing protein 7-like, with no coding region annotated. The transcript is spliced from 13 exons. The record is from RefSeq and is a predicted model, not a curated record. Lineage: Eukaryota; Metazoa; Arthropoda; Insecta; Hymenoptera; Pteromalidae.
UUGGCACCGGCCGGACCCAAGUACCUAUAGCUAUAUGUUGCGACACCUAUUACUUGCUGUUACACUGCGUAGGCUGUAAAGUGAAUGAUGCGAUCUUGAUAAAAAAUAUGUAGUUUUGAAGUUACACUUGUUACAAGGAUCGAAGCCUUAAGUAAUCUGUGAUAUACAAGAAUUUGUAUUACGACGUACUAUAACGUUCCUGGUGAACAAAGCUUUUACAAGAAUGGAUUUAAGUGAAGUAUCAUUAGCAGCCAAUGGGAGACUAUGUUCUUUGAAAUCUGUCAAAAAAGAAACACCUAAGAAAAGGAUACCGUUGGUAAUAAAUGUGCCAUAUGUACCUCCUCACAGAAGAAACUCAAGCAGUACAAACUAUGACAAACUUGCUACCAAACAAUCAGAUUUGAACUACAGUGAUCAUAGUUAUGCAAGCCAUAAACUUCCAAAAACUGAAAAAAUGAUUUAUUCGACUAAUGAUUUAUCAGAUUAUGAUUUGUCAGUUUGUUCUAGAACAAAUACCAACUUAAAAGAAGAUAUUGCUGUACAUGAAAAGCAAACUUUUAAGUUUUCCAAUGAAAACAUUGAAAAAACCAACAUUGAAAUUAAAAGGUCUGUUUCUCAAUCUACAAUUGAAAGUGAUGAUUAUUCAGGAACUGAAAGUUUUGAGAUGUAUAACACUGCAGAAGAGUUGACUUCAGAAUCCAUAAUUUCUUGCAAUGAAGAUAAAGAAAGUGACAUUAAUGCACAGUCUCCAUUCAUAACAGAGUAUAAUGCUUCCAAUACAAAAGUUGAUUUGCCUCAAAAGUAUUUAAAUCUUCCAGUGGUUGAAAAGUAUGGAAAAACACUGAGUAAAGUUAAAAGCAAUGAUGAUAUGCAUAAUGAAGGAAGUAAUUUAUCAAUUAGUGCAACGCAUAGUAAUGGAAAAGUUUUUGACAAAGUGGAAAAAGUAAAAAAAGAUAAUUUAAUUAUUGGAAGGAUAUUGGAUUUAGCUAAUGUCUACAUGAAUGUUACAUUUAAAGUAAUGUUAACCGAACUAUACAGUAAAAAAUACAGUAAACAUAUACCAUCAACUGUAUUACAAGAAAUUAAUUUUGUUGUUUCUGUAAACAAUGAAUCAAAAAUCAAGGAUGUCACUCCUACUAAUAAAAAGAUUGUUAACAUAGGACCAAAAUUUUUAACUUCUGAGGAUAUUGGCAGUACAUUUUUGGUUAAAAUUUAUAACUGUAAGAGUAUCACAGAAAUUUGGGGGAAAAUAACGAAUGCCACUAAUCUUAAAAAACUAGAUGAGCUUUUAAAGGAAAUGAAGAAAUUUUAUGAUUCUGAAAAAAUGGUGGCAUCUAGCAUCAAAGAAGGUGGUUUCUAUGCAGUAUAUAAAGAUGAUUUUUGGCAUCGUGUAAAAUGCUUAAAGUGUGAUAAAUCUACUGCUUUGGUUUUAUUCAUUGAUCAGGGUGAUGAGUAUACUUUCUCAUUGGAAAACAUUUUUGAACUUCACAAUAAGUUUGUUUUAAUUCCUGCACAAGCUAUCAGAAUGAGCUUAUCUGAUUUAGAAGAUAUAUCAGACUGUUAUGAAGCAUUUCUAAUUUUAAACGAUAAAUUACUUGAAAAAACUGUGUAUGCUAAUAUGCUAGCUUACAAAGAUAAUUGUUGUACGGUAAAGUUAUAUCUCAAGAUUUAUGAAGAAAAUAUAAAUAUUGCCGACUUGGUGAUUGAACAAUUGUUUAAGACGUUUUUAAAUCCAAAAAGUAGUAUUCAAACAGAGGAAUUGAUGCAUGUAAAUGUUUCUUAUAUAAGUGAUAAUAAAAUCUUUGUCCAGUUAUUUAAGUCUAAUAGUUACGCAUAUUUUACGAAAUUAUUAAGAAAUGCAACAAAGUAUCUUGAUAAUAAGAACUUACAACGUGUACAAAAUUUAAAUGAGAAUGCCAUUUAUUUAGUUCAAAAUCCUGAUAAAAAAACAUGGUAUCGUGCAAAAAUUAUGAAAUUCAAAAGUGAAGUAGCAGUUGAAGCCUUACUUAUUGAUACUGGCGCAAAUAUUUGUUUGAACAAAGAGGACUUUUAUCAUCUUGAAAAAUUAAGUAGUAUAUUAACUAAAUACCCAGAACAGGCCAUAGAAAUUCAAGUUCAUGAACUGUCUAAAUUCUAUGAACAUGAAACACUUGAGCAUUUUCAAAAAUUAACGAAGUGUCCAGUUAAUCUUUUUGGGUUAUUUAUCACAAAGACAUUAGAAAAUAAUAACAUUCCCACUAUUCGACUUUUUAAGAAGGAAUCUGACAAUUCUUUAAUUCCAAUCAAUGAUAAGUUAUUGCUUAACCAAAAAACUCAAGGUAGAAGCAUGAUUAUAGUUCCACUAAACAAAACAGAAUCAUCAGAUAAUGAUAUCACGCAUAAUUAUCAAAAAAUGUUGAAAAUGCGAGAAAUGCAGAGAUCGUUAUCACUGCUGUCUCUGAGUACAGUUUUGGAUCCUCCUAAGAUUCCGAAACAUUAUUGUGGUGUGCAUAUUAUCUCUGCAGAUAAUCCAUCAAACUUCACGAUACAGCUUCUAUCAAGCAAAUGUGGUGAACUUAAGAAACUGGGAUGCGAACUUUCUGAUGCUUGUAAUUCCUAUAAAGGUUCACCACUUACUGUUAAGACUGUAAAAAUUGGUCAAUUGUAUGCUGCUAAAUAUGAUGAUUAUGAUAACAAAUGGUAUCGAGUUUAUGUUUGUCAACUUAUGACUGACACUAAAUCAGCAAAUGUAUAUUAUUGUGAUUACGGCUAUUACAAAGAAGUCAAUAUAGAAAAUAUAGUACCUUUAGUAAGUCAAUUUCAUCAGUUGCCUUAUCAAGCAGUUUGGGCUCAAUUAUAUGGUAUUAAACCAAUAUUUGAAAGGUGGACAUUAGAUGAUGCUUCCAGAUUUAAGGAUUUAACGCAGCUAAAAAAUUUUGCCUGCAUAAUCAAAAGCAAAGAAUCUUUUAAACCCCAAUGUUGUCAAACUCUGAUACCAAUAACUGUUGAAACAGUUUACAGCUUGGAACUAGUUGAUAAUAGCACCGAAGACGACAUUUAUAUUGCCGAUAUAUUAGUAGAAGAAAGGCGAGCACUAAAAUGUAAAUAAUUACCUAUGACAGAGAUUGACCUUCAUCAUUUUUUAUACAUUUGAUACACGAUCCUACAACAUUUAAGACUGAGGAAGUAAAAUGUUAUGAGAUUUGUCAAAGAAACAGAUUUAUUUUAAGUUGCAUAGUGAUUCAAUUGAGAUAUGAAAUUAGUAUUCCGUUAUGUUACAAUUGAUUCAAUUUUUAAAGAGAGAAUAUGACUAUAAGUUCACUGCUGACUGUUAAAACAUAUAUUUAGUACACUGCAAAGAAAACUUGCUGUUGCGUGUGCGUGUUUUUGAAAUAGCCACCUAUCUUUACCUGAUACGAUAUAUGUGACGCACGCGCAUAUAUAUAUACCUAUGAUAUAUAGGUAUGAUCGAAGAAUUGAAAACAUGCGUGUUUGAUUACUAAAAGAGCCAAAAAAUCGGAGUA